GAUGAACGCUGGCGGCGUGCCUAAUACAUGCCAGUCGAGCGAACAGAUGAGGAGCUUGCUCCUCUGACGUUAGCGGCGGACGGGUGAGUAACACGUGGAUAACCUACCUAUAAGACUGGGAUAACUACGGGAAACCGGAGCUAAUACCGGAUAAUAUAUUGAACCGCAUGGUUCAAUAGUGAAAGACGGUUUUGCUGUCACUUAUAGAUGGAUCCGCGCCGCAUUAGCUAGUUGGUAAGGUAACGGCUUACCAAGGCAACGAUGCGUAGCCGACCUGAGAGGGUGAUCGGCCACACUGGAACUGAGACACGGUCCAGACUCCUACGGGAGGCAGCAGUAGGGAAUCUUCCGCAAUGGGCGAAAGCCUGACGGAGCAACGCCGCGUGAGUGAUGAAGGUCUUCGGAUCGUAAAACUCUGUUAUUAGGGAAGAACAAAUGUGUAAGUAACUAUGCACGUCUUGACGGUACCUAAUCAGAAAGCCACGGCUAACUACGU
This 496-nucleotide ribosomal RNA is filed under the name uncultured bacterium. RNAcentral's name for it is "partial 16S ribosomal RNA". It matches the Rfam family "Bacterial small subunit ribosomal RNA", at positions 28 to 506 of the family's 1533-position model. The record is from RNAcentral.